Non-coding RNA from Triticum urartu, 774 nucleotides. The record is from RefSeq and is a predicted model, not a curated record. Lineage: Eukaryota; Viridiplantae; Streptophyta; Magnoliopsida; Poales; Poaceae.
GAUUGUGGAGAUUUGGAAAAGGUUCUGGACCCAGUGCAUGUGCAAGGCCGAGGUGCACCGAAGAAAAGGUUGCAGGCAAAGAUGAAGAAGCAAAGAUCAAAGAGGAAAUGUGGCUACUGUGGGGUGACAGGUCAUGAUCGGCGUAAUUGCACUAAACUGCAAGAGGAAAUGAUGGCAGCAAACUAUUAGCUGCAGCUAUCUCUGCAAGGGGUUUUGUGGUAGGAAACUGUUGCCCUUGUGGUCCAUUUUUCAAGUAUUACUUUCUGCAAGUAUUUCAUUUUCCACGAUCUUGCCGAUCCGUCCCCUGCGAUGCCUCAACCUCCUCGUAGCCCUGCACAUGUAUUCUUGUCUGCAUGUUCAGCUGCAAGCUCAUCUGUAGAGAAAAAAAAUUGUUGUACAAGCUAGUAUUGAAGUUGCAUCCACUUUUUCCUUGUUCUGCAGCCCAAGGUAUCUUCAGAUGAUGAUUGGAGCUGGAUGGCGCUCAAGCUAUUGCGUAAGCUAGGAUAUAUUGGAGUUUGAAAGUUCUGUGUUGUAAUGCAUCUCUUCUGGUAAAGCGGUUGAUUUAUGUUUGGACAUAAAAAAGUGAGAUACAAGAGUUGUAGAACAAAGCUAUCCUUAUAAAAUACUCCGUCCGUCCCAUAAUGUAAGACGUUUUUUGACACUACAGUAGAGUCAAAAAACGUCUUACAUUAUGGGACAGAGGGAGUAUAUUAUAUCAGAUGUAUGUACACAAUGUUUGAGUUAGCCUGUGCAUGUGACAGUGGUGAACAGAAA